This 326-nucleotide ribosomal RNA is filed under the name uncultured eukaryote. Its description in RNAcentral is "partial 18S ribosomal RNA". It matches the Rfam family "Eukaryotic small subunit ribosomal RNA", at positions 1470 to 1796 of the family's 1831-position model. The record is from RNAcentral.
CCCUUAGAUGUUCUGGGCUGCACACGCGCUACACUGAAGGGAUCAGCGCGUUUUCCCUUCCCGAGAGGGACGGGUAACCUGCUGAACCCCGUUCGUGGUAGGGAUCGGGGCUUGCAAUUAUUCCCCGUGAACCAGGAAUGCCCAGUAAGUGCAAGUCAUAAGCUUGCGUUGAUUACGUCCCUGCCCUUUGUACACACCGCCCGUCGCUACUACCGAUUGAACGUUUUAGUGAGGUACUCGGACUGAGCCUCAGAAGAUUCACGUCUUUUGUGCUGCUCGGGAAGAUUCCCAAACUUGAGCGUUUAGAGGAAGUAAAAGUCGUAACA